CGGGUGCACUGAUCCGGCCGGGCCUUUCCCUCUGUGGAACCCCAUGGCCUUCACUGGCUGUGCGGGGGAAACAGGACUUUUACUGUGAAAAAAUUAGAGUGCUCCAGGCAGGCCUAUGCUCGAAUACAUUAGCAUGGAAUAAUAGAAUAGGACGCGUGGUUCUAUUUUGUUGGUUUCUAGGACCGCCGUAAUGAUUAAUAGGGACAGUCGGGGGCAUCAGUAUUCAAUUGUCAGAGGUGAAAUUCUUGGAUCUAUUGAAGACUAACUACUGCGAAAGCAUUUGCCAAGGAUGUUUUCAUUGAUAAGGAACGAAAGUUAGGGGAUCGAAGACGAUCAGAUACCGUCGUAGUCUUAACUAUAAACUAUGCCGACUAGGGAUCGGACGAUGUUAUUUCUUGACGCGUUCGGCACCUUUCGAGAAAUCAAAGUGCUUGGGCUCCAGGGGGAGUAUGGUCGCAAGGCUGAAACUUAAAGAAAUUGACGGAAGGGCACCACCAGGGGUGGAACCUGCGGCUUAAUUUGACUCAACACGGGGAAACUCACCAGGUCCAGACAAAAUAAGGAUUGACAGAUUGAGAGCUCUUUCUUGAUCUUUUGGAUGGUGGUGCAUGGCCGUUCUUAGUUGGUGGAGUGAUUUGUCUGCUUAAUUGCGAUAACGAACGAGACCUCGGCCCUUAAAUAGCCCGGUCCGCAUUUGCGGGCCGCUGGCUUCUUAGGGGGACUAUCGG
Molecule: ribosomal RNA, 728 nt
Filed under: uncultured eukaryote
Lineage: Eukaryota
Description: SSU rRNA
Rfam family: Eukaryotic small subunit ribosomal RNA
Source: RNAcentral